GUAGGUGGCAAGCGUUGUCCGGAAUUAUUGGGCGUAAAGCGCGCGCAGGCGGUCCUUUAAGUCUGAUGUGAAAGCCCACGGCUCAACCGUGGAGGGUCAUUGGAAACUGGGGGACUUGAGUACAGAAGAGGAAAGCGGAAUUCCAAGUGUAGCGGUGAAAUGCGUAGAGAUUUGGAGGAACACCAGUGGCGAAGGCGGCUUUCUGGUCUGUAACUGACGCUGAGGCGCGAAAGCGCGGGGAGCAAACAGGGAUUAGAUACCCUGGUAGUCCACGCCGUAAACGAUGAGUGCUAAGUGUUAGGGGGUUUCCCGCCCCUUAGUGCUGCAGCUAACGCAUUAAGCACUCCGCCUGGGGAGUACGGCCGCAAGGCUG
RNAcentral lists this ribosomal RNA (373 nucleotides) under uncultured organism. RNAcentral's name for it is "partial 16S ribosomal RNA". It matches the Rfam family "Bacterial small subunit ribosomal RNA", at positions 527 to 896 of the family's 1533-position model. The record is from RNAcentral.